This 616-nucleotide ribosomal RNA is filed under the name uncultured cyanobacterium. Its description in RNAcentral is "bacterial SSU rRNA". It matches the Rfam family "Bacterial small subunit ribosomal RNA", at positions 122 to 770 of the family's 1533-position model. Lineage: Bacteria; Bacillati; Cyanobacteriota. The record is from RNAcentral.
GAAUCUAGCUUCAGGAUGGGGACAACAGUGGGAAACUGCUGCUAAUACCCGAUGUGCCGAAAGGUGAAAGAUUUAUCGCCUGAAGAUGAGCUCGCGUCCGAUUAGCUAGUUGGUAGGGUAAGAGCCUACCAAGGCGACGAUCGGUAGCUGGUCUGAGAGGAUGACCAGCCACACUGGGACUGAGACACGGCCCAGACUCCUACGGGAGGCAGCAGUGGGGAAUUUUCCGCAAUGGGCGAAAGCCUGACGGAGCAAGACCGCGUGAGGGAGGAAGGCUCUUGGGUUGUAAACCUCUUUUCUCAGGGAAGAACAAAAUGACGGUACCUGAGGAAUCAGCCUCGGCUAACUCCGUGCCAGCAGCCGCGGUAAUACGGAGGAGGCAAGCGUUAUCCGGAAUUAUUGGGCGUAAAGCGUCCGCAGGUGGCACUUCAAGUCUGUCGUCAAAGACUGGGGCUUAACCCUGGAAAGGCGGUGGAAACUGAAGCGCUAGAGUGUGGUAGGGGUAGAGGGAAUUCCCGGUGUAGCGGUGAAAUGCGUAGAGAUCGGGAAGAACAUCGGUGGCGAAAGCGCUCUACUGGACCACAACUGACACUCAGGGACGAAAGCUAGGGGAGCG